RNAcentral lists this long non-coding RNA (1142 nucleotides) under Chloebia gouldiae (Gouldian finch). RNAcentral's name for it is "Erythrura gouldiae (Gouldian finch) lncRNA (ENSEGOG00005003083.1)". The record is from RNAcentral. Lineage: Eukaryota; Metazoa; Chordata; Aves; Passeriformes; Passeridae.
CUCACAGUGACUGGGUGGCGAACCAGGAAGUGCCAGGAACUCAUGACAAACAACAAAUCUAAGGAGAAGGAUUCGUUUUUCAAGACUGAAGUAGGCACAGAAAGUGGCACAAGGGUGAUUUAUGUACUUAAGCAAGGUUUUGGCAUUUGUGCCCAGCUUUGUAGUUUAUUUCCUUAUUCACUCAAAUGCAUAGACUGAACAAAUGUUUGGUAAACAGGAACCCAAGGUUUCAGCGAUGAAAAGCUUUAACUCUCACCCACAGAGCUGCUUGCAGCAUUGGCUUGGAAAUGUUUUUGAGAAGAUGAUGAUUUCCUCCUCCCCAGUCUCAUGACUGGGGUAGCUGCAGCUGUGACCCCCCCCUACAUUGCCUCAUGGCUGCACCCCCACCAAGCUGCCAAGGGCUGGAAAGAGAAAGAAAAGUGAGUGGUGAGGUGGGGCUCUUUGGGCCAGCCUCCAUCAGCGCUGGCAGGGGCCAACUUGGAAACUUGCACAGCUGCUGCCUGGACUCGAUUUGUGCUGUGAAUAACUGGAGAGCUUUCCAUCACCAGGGCUGUCAGUUCAGUGUCCAAGCUGACUGAAAUGGAAACUGAAAGCAAUUGUGCUGCAUAAAUCAGAUGCUGGAAGUCCUUUGUAUGAUCUACACCCAGUGUCACCACCACAGCUCCUGGGCUCUCUGCUGAGGUGGCCAACAGGGUGUGAAGCUGCCCCAACCCACCACUUCAGAUCUUGAAGGAAAAAAUUGCAAACCAAGAAAUGGCCUGCAAACAUCCCGAGCCACCCAGUGCUCUUUUGUAGGUAUUUGUGGAGAAAGGCAUUUUGGAGGGAUGCAAUAUGAAUGGCUGCAGUGCCAUUGCCGACUGAAAGUCUGUGCAGUCAGUCCUGGUGGUGGCUACUGGAGCCUGCCUGCUCCCACACCCCAGUGGCAGCCAUUAUUCCCAGAAAAGCAGUGGCAACACAAGGGUAGAACAUGAGAGAGGCACAGCUCUGCACAGCCUUGGGUGCCCUGCACCAAGGAGCAUCCACACUCUGCCUCCAGCUUGGUGCAUGAAAACUUUCCCAUCUGAAUUAAAGUUGCUCUGUUUUCCUAGAUAAAGAGACUCCUGCCCACUGCCAAAAUUCCUGGUUUCUCCUCAUUGCUGGAG